This 403-nucleotide ribosomal RNA is filed under the name bacterium. RNAcentral describes it as "partial 16S ribosomal RNA". It matches the Rfam family "Bacterial small subunit ribosomal RNA", at positions 355 to 776 of the family's 1533-position model. The record is from RNAcentral.
UGGGGAAUAUUGCACAAUGGGGGAAACCCUGAUGCAGCGACGCCGCGUGAACGAAGAAGGUAUUCGUAUCGUAAAGUUCUGUCCUAUGGAAAGAUAAUGACAGUACCAUAGAAGAAAGCUCCGGCUAAAUACGUGCCAGCAGCCGCGGUAAUACGUAUGGAGCGAGCGUUGUCCGGAAUUAUUGGGCGUAAAGGGUACGCAGGCGGUUUAAUAAGUCGAAUGUUAAAGAUCGGGGCUCAACCCCGUAAAGCAUUGGAAACUGAUAAACUUGAGUAGUGGAGAGGAAAGUGGAAUUCCUAGUGUAGUGGUGAAAUACGUAGAUAUUAGGAGGAAUACCAGUAGCGAAGGCGACUUUCUGGACACAAACUGACGCUGAGGUACGAAAGCGUGGGGAGCAAACAGG